AUGAACGCUGGCGGCGUGCCUAAUACAUGCAAGUCGAGCGAACAGAUGAGGAGCUUGCUCCUCUGACGUUAGCGGCGGACGGGUGAGUAACACGUGGAUAACCUACCUAUAAGACUGGGAUAACUUCGGGAAACCGGAGCUAAUACCGGAUAAUAUAUUGAACCGCAUGGUUCAAUAGUGAAAGACGGUUUUGCUGUCACUUAUAGAUGGAUCCGCGCCGCAUUAGCUAGUUGGUAAGGUAACGGCUUACCAAGGCAACGAUGCGUAGCCGACCUGAGAGGGUGAUCGGCCACACUGGAACUGAGACACGGUCCAGACCCCUACGGGAGGCAGCAGUAGGGAAUCUUCCGCAAUGGGCGAAAGCCUGACGGAGCAACGCCGCGUGAGUGAUGAAGGUCUUCGGAUCGUAAAACUCUGUUAUUAGGGAAGAACAAAUGUGUAAGUAACUAUGCACGUCUUGACGGUACCUAAUCAGAAAGCCACGGCUAACUACGUG
RNAcentral lists this ribosomal RNA (496 nucleotides) under uncultured bacterium. Its description in RNAcentral is "partial 16S ribosomal RNA". It matches the Rfam family "Bacterial small subunit ribosomal RNA", at positions 29 to 507 of the family's 1533-position model. The record is from RNAcentral.